CAAAAUUCAUCUCCCUCUUUCAUGGGAGGACAAGGAUCACCACAAAUGCAAAGUGCAGCAUAUGCUCCUAGCUCCAUGUCGCAGCAGUCUUCAUCACCUUCUUUCAUGGGAGGACAAGGAUCACCACAAAUGCAAAGUGCAGCAUAUUCUCCUAGCUCCAUGUCGCAACAAUCUUCAUCACCUUCUUUCAUGGGAGGACAAGGAUCCUCACAAAUGCAAGGCCAGCAGUCAGUGCCUAAUCCUAGCUGGCAACAAGCUUCACCACCUUCUUUCAUGGGAGGACAAGGAU
Molecule: long non-coding RNA, 289 nt
Filed under: Nicotiana tabacum (common tobacco)
Lineage: Eukaryota; Viridiplantae; Streptophyta; Magnoliopsida; Solanales; Solanaceae
Description: long non-coding RNA (NTAB_LNC013244)
Source: RNAcentral